Molecule: unclassified non-coding RNA, 756 nt
Filed under: Philonotis fontana
Lineage: Eukaryota; Viridiplantae; Streptophyta; Bryopsida; Bartramiales; Bartramiaceae
Description: sequence contains 18S rRNA gene, ITS1, 5.8S rRNA gene, ITS2 and 28S rRNA gene
Rfam family: 5.8S ribosomal RNA (bases 326-478)
Source: RNAcentral
UCAUUGCACACACACUAAUGUUGCAGUAAACCCGGCUCGCGCCGGGCCGUUUGGCGAAGUACCACAUUGUCCCUCUUAUUGUCCCGGUCGGGUCGGGUCGGGUCGGGCUCCUCCUUCGAACGGGCGAGGGGUCCGCCCGGCCCCCCCGGCGGGGAUGACCACGAUCUCAUUGAUUGCGCAAUGCAUCAACGCUCUGACCCAUGACUGAGUCCCUUAAACGAUUCGAGGAGUUGGGCUUCUGAUGACGACGGGCGGGGGACUUCCCCGCCCUUAGUUUUGAUGGAGACCCGCGCCCCCCGAGUAGUUGAAUCUAUAACUUAGAAACAACUCUCAGCAACGGAUAUCUUGGCUCUUGCAACGAUGAAGAACGCAGCGAAAUGCGAUACGUAGUGUGAAUUGCAGAAUUCCGCGAAUCAUCGAGUCUUUGAACGCAAGUUGCGCCCGAGGCUUGUCCGAGGGCAUUUCCGCUAGAGCGUCACCGCGCUCCCCCACCGGCCCCCCCCCUUCGGGUGGGAUGGGAUCGAGUGGAAGUGGCCGUCCCGAUCGGUUUCGAUCGGGUCGGCUGAAAUGGAUGGAAUUUGGCCGUCGUGGCGACGGAGCCCCGCGAUCAGGUGAUCCGAGCGAGAGCCCGGAACUCAAACGUGCGAGGCCCCCCCGUCCGCCCAGUCGGCGUUCCGGAACGAAAAGAGCAGGUCCGCGCGUCCGGUUCGGCUCCCCGAGCCGAGCCGAGCGCGCGUCAGAGGGUCACGCAUCAGA